GUGUUUUGAAGGACCUAUUUUGUGGUUAGAGGACCUAUUUUGUACCAGGUGAAAGUCUUACCAAAAGAAGCUACCAACUAGAUUGCAAGCAUGCUGAUAUCACUGGAGGAAAAAUUUAGAAAGUAAAGUUCCAGAUAUUGCAAAAUCUGGAUUUACAUCGGCAUGGUUGCCGCCAUCAACUCAUUCCUUUGCCCCGGAAGGUUACCUCCUUCAGAACAUAUAUUCCCUCAAUUCUAAAUAUGGAUCUGAGCGCCAAUUAAGAGGUUUACUAAAAAAAAUUGGGUUACCUCCCUCAGAACAUAUAUUCCAUCGAAUUGGGUUUAUUUAUUUACAGCUUACUCUGUUUUGUGUUUCCGAAUAUUCAAUUAGUUAUGCAACUAAAUAUGUGAAGGAGUAUAUUGAAGGAGCAAAACCAAUUUUUUCCGCUGGGGAGUAUUGAGAUUCUUGCAACUACAAUGGUCAUGGUUUGGACUACAACCAAGGAAGCUGUCAAGGGACAAUUAUGGAGCUUACGUGAUCCCCAGGGGAAGCCACCAGGUGUAAUGCAGUAGUACAACUAGCUAGUUCCUAUAUUUAACUUGUGUCUAGUAGAAAUUCU
Long non-coding RNA from Rosa rugosa (rugosa rose), 598 nucleotides. RefSeq lists it as uncharacterized. The transcript has 4 exons. The record is from RefSeq and is a predicted model, not a curated record. NCBI's taxonomy places the organism in Eukaryota, Viridiplantae, Streptophyta, Magnoliopsida, Rosales, Rosaceae.